RNA transcript from Cercocebus atys (sooty mangabey), 2856 nucleotides. It is a transcript of the gene named DEP domain containing MTOR-interacting protein, with no coding region annotated. The record is from RefSeq and is a predicted model, not a curated record. Lineage: Eukaryota; Metazoa; Chordata; Mammalia; Primates; Cercopithecidae. The transcript is spliced from 10 exons.
UCUGGGGCCGGACUAGCCCAGCGCGUCUGCCUACCCACAGGGAUUCCCUCUCCAGCCAAUCCGUUCAGAGCAGAGGAGCUGCCCCGAACAAAGAUGGCGCGGGAGGCGUCUGUGAGGGCAGACUGAUCCGAGCACCCAAACCCUCGGCGGACAGCGGAGCCAGUGGUAGCGGCACGGCCCCAACCAUGGAGGAGGGCGGCAGCACUGGCAGUGCUGCCAGUGACAGCAGUACCAGCGGGAGUGGCGGGGCGCAGCAAAGGGAGCUGGAGCGCAUGGCUGAGGUCUUGGUCACCGGGGAGCAGCUACGGCUCAGGCUGCAUGAAGAAAAGGUUAUUAAAGAUAGACGUCAUCAUCUCAAGACCUACCCAAACUGUUUCGUCGCAAAAGAACUGAUUGACUGGCUGAUUGAACACAAAGAGGCUUCCGACAGAGAGACGGCAAUUAAACUCAUGCAGAAAUUAGCAGACCGGGGCAUUAUUCACCAUGUGUGUGAUGAGCAUAAAGAAUUCAAGGAUGUCAAACUCUUCUACCGCUUUAGAAAGGAUGACGGCACCUUCCCAUUGGAUAACGAAGUGAAGGCCUUUAUGAGGGGACAGCGGCUGUAUGAAAAGCUGAUGAGCCCUGAAAACACACUCCUGCAGCCCAGGGAGGAGGAAGGGGUCAAGUAUGAGCGCACCUUCAUGGCAUCUGAAUUCCUGGACUGGCUGGUUCAGGAAGGUGAGGCCACCACAAGGAAAGAGGCAGAGCAGCUUUGCCACCGGCUUAUGGAGCAUGGCAUCAUCCAGCAUGUGUCCAACAAGCACCCAUUUGUGGACAGCAAUCUUCUCUACCAGUUUAGAAUGAACUUCCGGCGGAGGCGAAGACUGAUGGAGCUGCUCAAUGAAAAGUCCCCUUCCUCCCAGGAAACUCAUGACAGUCCCUUCUGCCUGAGGAAGCAGAGCCAUGACAAUCGGAAAUCUACCAGCUUUAUGUCAGUGAGCCCCAGCAAGGAGAUCAAGAUCGUGUCUGCAGUGAGGAGGAGCAGCAUGAGCAGCUGUGGCAGCAGCGGCUACUUCAGCAGCAGCCCCACCCUCAGCAGCAGCCCCCCUGUGCUCUGCAACCCCAAGUCCGUGCUGAAGAGACCUGUCACCUCUGAGGAACUCCUUACUCCCGGGGCUCCGUAUGCAAGGAAGACAUUCACGAUUGUUGGUGACGCGGUUGGCUGGGGUUUUGUGGUGCGAGGAAGUAAGCCAUGCCACAUCCAGGCUGUAGACCCCAGUGGCCCUGCAGCCGCAGCCGGAAUGAAGUGGUACCUCACCUCAGAUGGGCUGGUUUUCCAUUUUAAGACUGGGAUGAGACACCACAAAACAGGGCAGGCGAUACGGUUUGGAUAUUUUGUCCCUUCCAAAUCUCAUGUUGAAAUGUGACGUCCAAUGUUGGAGGGGAGCCUGGUGAGAUGUGUUUGGAUCCUCAUGAAUGUCCUGGUGCGGUCCUCGCAGUAAUGAGAUGGUUCACACCUGAGACCUGACUAAGUACCCAAGCUUCAGGAAGAUUCUUGGGAUGGAGAAGACAAGGAGGAAAUCUAGGCAUGGUGAAAUGGAAAACAAUUAAACUCAGAAGGAAUUUGAAUUCGUUUUUGGCAAGGACCCUCCACGUUUUCCAAGGCUUGCUGCCUAAACAUCAAUUCAGUCCGCCUCUUGCAGGUGUGUGUAUGACGCAGAGGGAGUCAUUUCAUGGCAGAAGUGUAGGCUGGAGAAGACCUGGCUAAAUUUCAGAAUAGAUGGGCUGAGGAUGGGGAGGGAACUUUACUUCCCCUCAGUGUUUCUCCAUCUCUGUCCUUUGCAACUAGCUGCUUCCUCUCUGAAAUUUUAACUUCUAUUCCUGGAGCAGAGAACAUUUUUAAAUUCUAUCAAACUCAGUAAAGACUCCAACACAAUUUUUUAAAAUAAAAAUUACCUCCAAAAAUGAUCAAAGGAAGGUACAAUAAUUGUAGGCAACAUUAGCAAUAAAGAGAAACAAAAAAGAAUAAAAUUCAUGUGACUAUCACCUCAUCACACAGAGGAAAUUAUGAUUUAUUCCUUGGUCUAUAUUCUUCCAGACCUUCUUAACACAUAUAACACAUACUUUGUCCAUUUUGUUUUGCUGUUUUGAUUAUCCUUGUCUCUUAAAUUUCAAAAAUAACCAUGCUAAUUCCUUAGGAUAAUUCUAGAAGUAAGUAUCAUAACUCUAUUUUCUGAGUCAAACAGUACACGUAUUCCAAAGGUCUUCUCUUCAGUUUCCAUACACAUUCCCAGUCUCUCCUCUCCUCUCCAACCUUCAUAGGCAGCCCGGAGAUGUGACAAGACUCACAGCACUGCUGUUCUGGUUUACUCUGUCAUAUCUCCGUUUGCUGAAGAAUUAUUUGAUAAAAGACCAUGUCUGGUUAUUCUCCCAAAUGUAAAUAUUUUUAUCCAUCUGCUAUAUGAUUAAAAUGAGUUCAUGGGAUAAACUUGAUAAAUCUUGGAUACAAAUAUUAUGAACUGAAGUUUAUUGGUAUGAGUGUUUACAAGUAUAAGCACAACCAGGAAUCAUAGAGGAAUUAGCUUUUCCUGUGCUUAAACAUGACUAAUGGCAAGAGAGUCAGGGGAGCUUGUCUUCUAAGAGGUAUCAUUAAAAGGGCAACAUUGGAGCAAGAAAAAGUUACAAAGUAGGAAAAGCAAUCUUUUAGGCCAUAUUAAGAAUGUUUGACUUUAUCCUAACAGUAACAGCAAACUACUGAAGGAGAGGUAGAGGGUAACCUGUUUGGAUUGACAUUUUGAAAAGUUUACUUUCACUUCAAUGUAGAAAAUGGACUGGUAGAGGCCGGGUGUGGUGGCUCACACCUAUCAUCCCAGCACU